This 447-nucleotide ribosomal RNA is filed under the name uncultured bacterium. RNAcentral describes it as "bacterial SSU rRNA". It matches the Rfam family "Bacterial small subunit ribosomal RNA", at positions 330 to 793 of the family's 1533-position model. The record is from RNAcentral.
CCCAGACUCCUACGGGAGGCAGCAGUGGGGGAUAUUGCACAAUGGGGGAAACCCUGAUGCAGCGACGCCGCGUGGGUGAAGAAGUAUUUCGGUAUGUAAAGCCCUGUCAGCAGGGACGAAAAUGACGGUACCUGAAGAAGAAGCCCCGGCUAACUACGUGCCAGCAGCCGCGGUAAUACGUAGGGGGCAAGCGUUAUCCGGAUUUACUGGGUGUAAAGGGGGCGCAGACGGCGAUGCAAGCCAGGAGUGAAAGCCCGGGGCCCAACCCCGGGACUGCUCUUGGAACUGCGUGGCUGGAGUGCAGGAGGGGCAGGCGGAAUUCCUGGUGUAGCGGUGAAAUGCGUAGAUAUCAGGAGGAACACCGGUGGCGAAGGCGGCCUGCUGGACUGCAACUGACGUUGAGGCCCGAAAGCGUGGGGAGCAAACAGGAUUAGAUACCCGAGUAAG